GUGUGUGUGUGUGUGUGUGUGUGUGUGUGUGUGUGUGUGUGUGUGUGUGUGUGUGUGUGUGUGGGGUUGUCAUUUGGUCAGUGCUUUGAUAGCUGGUGGACGAGGAGGAGAGCUCACCAUGAGUCCAGACAGGAGAAGUGAGAGGGGCCAGCUGCUGUCAUAUACACAAACCACAUGCAGCUGUUCAGCGUCUGCCUGAGAGCUGCCUGGACAAGCCAAUCAGCCACAUACCUUGGAGCCAGUGUUUCCGGAGGAUGGGAGAGGACAAUCACCACAGCAACAUUACAUAGGGAUUACAUCAUUUCUAAUGGGACUGUUCUUUUGUUAGAUCUUCACAUACUUUGGCAGAUGUUGUGUGUAUGUGUUUUCACUCAUAUCCAGUGUCUUCAAAAAUUACCUCUGUGUUGAAUGUACAACCACUAAAGCUCAAGUUACUACCA
Long non-coding RNA from Labrus bergylta (ballan wrasse), 440 nucleotides. RefSeq lists it as uncharacterized. Lineage: Eukaryota; Metazoa; Chordata; Actinopteri; Labriformes; Labridae. The record is from RefSeq and is a predicted model, not a curated record.